This 322-nucleotide ribosomal RNA is filed under the name uncultured bacterium. Its description in RNAcentral is "bacterial SSU rRNA". It matches the Rfam family "Bacterial small subunit ribosomal RNA", at positions 28 to 334 of the family's 1533-position model. The record is from RNAcentral.
GAUGAACGCUGGCGGCGUGCUUAACACAUGCAAGUCGAACGGAGUGCUCAUGACGGAGGAUUCGUCCAACGGAUUGAGUUACUUAGUGGCGGACGGGUGAGUAACGCGUGAGGAACCUGCCUCGGAGUGGGGAAUAACAGCCCGAAAGGGUUGCUAAUACCGCAUGAUGCAGCUGGGUCGCAUGACCCUGGCUGCCAAAGAUUUAUCGGUAAGCGAUGGGGAUGCGUUCCAUUAGGCAGUUGGCGGGUAACGCCCACCAAACCUCGAUGGAUAGGGGUUCUGAGAGGAAGGUCCCCCACAUUGGAACUGAGACACGGUCCAA